CCGCGGUGAAUACGUUCCCGGGUCUUGUACACACCGCCCGUCACACCAUGGGAGUCGGAAAUGCCCGAAGUCUGUGACCCAACCGUAAGGAGGGAGCAGCCGAAGGCAGGUCGGAUGACUGGGGUGAAGUCGUAACAAGGUAUC
This 144-nucleotide ribosomal RNA is filed under the name uncultured bacterium. RNAcentral describes it as "partial 16S ribosomal RNA". It matches the Rfam family "Bacterial small subunit ribosomal RNA", at positions 1357 to 1500 of the family's 1533-position model. The record is from RNAcentral.